This is a long non-coding RNA of Oxyura jamaicensis (ruddy duck), 817 nucleotides long. RefSeq lists it as uncharacterized. Lineage: Eukaryota; Metazoa; Chordata; Aves; Anseriformes; Anatidae. The record is from RefSeq and is a predicted model, not a curated record. The transcript has 4 exons.
AGAUAGAGAACUGGCCACUUUUAUCAUUCAGCAGUAACUAAAGCCAACUGGCUGGCCUUCACUUCUGCAAACUGGCUUAAUUCACCUUCUCCUUCAGCAGUUUCUGCGCCUUUUUGUUUAGGGCUCCAUACAGCAGCUUUCCAUCUGAUGCUUUCCUACAAUACUACAGGACCCAUCAGCAAAGAGGAGAUAUUGCUUGUCAUUUUCUGGUAGUUUAUUAGGCAGUGGGAUCUCUUCAUCAGACAUCACCUCCUCUUCUGGUGAUAGUCUGAAAUCCCUGCCAGUCCAUGAUCACCUCCGAGAUUUGUUUCUGUCUGGGGUGUCCUAUCCAACCCUGUUGUGUUAUCAGUGUGACCCACUUACUUCAUGUAGCAUCAGUUGCAUGAUGUGUAGAGGGAAUCCUCCCUUUGGACAUUCAGCUCAGCACAAUUAAUCGAGGUUCCAAGAGGAGCUGUGCAUCACUACCAACUACUUCUGAAGCAGCUCAAACCCCUUCAUAUGCUGCUAGUAUCUUUUUUUCAGUUGGAGUGCAGCAGGCCACAGAUUAUCUGUAUCCCUGACUCCAGAAUUCCAAAGGGGUGCUUUCUGCCAAAGGCUCUUGGUGGGGUGUUGCUCCCCCGCUGUGGUGUAAAGCAGUUUUUUUUUCACCUUGUCCUGUCCAGCCUUGCCCAAGGGCUACUGUACUUUGUUUAAAGGUUUCUCAUUGCUUAGGGGCCCGUUUUAAAUUGUUCUUCUGUGUCACUGGAUCCAGGGCUUACCAUCAAACUGUAAUUUGUAAUAUAUAUUCUCAAAUGUCUCCAAUUUGUUAAAUACAUCC